Molecule: ribosomal RNA, 676 nt
Filed under: uncultured Arcobacter sp.
Lineage: Bacteria; Pseudomonadati; Campylobacterota; Epsilonproteobacteria; Campylobacterales; Arcobacteraceae
Description: bacterial SSU rRNA
Rfam family: Bacterial small subunit ribosomal RNA
Source: RNAcentral
CUUGCUAAUAUUGUCAGCUAAGUGGCGCACGGGUGAGUAAUAUAUAGUUAAUCUGCCCCAAAGAAGAGAAUAAUUGUUGGAAACGACUUGUAACGCUCUAUAUGCCUUUAUUACAUAAGUAAGCAAGGGAAACAUUUAUGGCUUUGGGAUGAGACUGUACGGUAUCAGCUAGUUGGUGAGGUAAUGGCUCACCAAGGCUAUGAUAUCUAACUGGUUUGAGAGGAUGAUCAGUCACACUGGAACUGAGACACGGUCCAGACUCCUACGGGAGGCAGCAGUGGGGAAUAUUGCACAAUGGAGGAAACUCUGAUGCAGCAACGCCGCGUGGAGGAUGACACAUUUCGGUGCGUAAACUCCUUUUAUAUGAGAAGAUAAUGACGGUAUCAUAUGAAUAAGCACCGGCUAACUCCGUGCCAGCAGCCGCGGUAAUACGGGGGGUGCAAGCGUUACUCGGAAUCACUGGGCGUAAAGAGCAUGUAGGCUGGUUUGUAAGUUGGAAGUGAAAUCCUAUGGCUUAACCAUAGAACUGCUUCCAAAACUGCAGACCUAGAAUAUGGGAGAGGUAGAUGGAAUUUCUGGUGUAGGGGUAAAAUCCGUAGAGAUCAGAAGGAACACCGAUUGCGAACGCGAUCUACUGGAACAUUAUUGACGCUGAGAUGCGAAAGCGUGGGGAGCA